UAGGGAAUAUUGCACAAUGGGGGAAACCCUGAUGCAGCGACGCCGCGUGAAGGAAGAAGUAUUCGUAGUGUAAACUUCUAUCAGCAGGGAAGAACAUGACGGUACCUGACUAAGAAGCCCCGGCUAACUACGUGCCAGCAGCCGCGGUAAUACGUAGGGGGCAAGCGUUAUCCGGAUUUACUGGGUGUAAAGGGAGCGUAGACGGAUCUGCAAGUCUGGAGUGAAAGCCGGGGCUCAACCCCGGGACUGCUUGAAUGACUGUGAUCUGAGUGCCGGAGAGGUAAGCGGAAUUCCUAGUGUAGCGGUGAAAUGCGUAGAUAUUAGGAGGAACACCAGUGGCGAAGGCGGCUUACUGGACGGUAACUGACGUGAGCUCGAAAGCGUGGGGAGCAAACAGGAUUAGAUACCC
RNAcentral lists this ribosomal RNA (409 nucleotides) under uncultured bacterium. Its description in RNAcentral is "bacterial SSU rRNA". It matches the Rfam family "Bacterial small subunit ribosomal RNA", at positions 355 to 787 of the family's 1533-position model. The record is from RNAcentral.